UAAACUACGAUUAGAUACCCUAUUAUUUUAAAUGUGAAUUAUUUAUACUUGGGUAGUAUUAGAUAUGUUCUUGAAACUCAAAGAAUUUGGCGGUGUUUUAGUCUUUUCAGAGGAACCUGUCCCGUGAUCGAUAGUCCACGUUUUAUUUUACUUAACCUGGUUUUCAGCUUGUAUACCGCCGUCGUCAGAAUGUCCUUUAAGGGGAUUAAUUUUCUAAAUUUUUAAUUGAAAUUGAUGUCAGGUCAAGGUGCAGUUUAUGGUUAAGGGGAGAUGGGUUACAAUAAAUUUAUUUACUACGAAUGAUUAAUGGAAGAAUUAUUUUGAAGGUGGAUUUGAAUGUAAUUUAUUUAAUAAAAUUUGAAUGAUUUUAGCUCUAAAACAUGCACACAUCGCCCGUCGCUCUUA
This 405-nucleotide ribosomal RNA is filed under the name Illiesoperla australis. RNAcentral describes it as "partial 12S ribosomal RNA". The record is from RNAcentral. Lineage: Eukaryota; Metazoa; Arthropoda; Insecta; Plecoptera; Gripopterygidae.